GACGAACGCUGGCGGCGUGCUUAACACAUGCAAGUCGAACGGAAAGACCCUGCUUUUGUGGGGUGCUCGAGUGGCGAACGGGUGAGUAACACGUGAGUAACCUGCCCUUGACUUUGGGAUAACUUCAGGAAACUGGGGCUAAUACCGGAUAGGAGCUCCUGCUGCAUGGUGGGGGUUGGAAAGUUUCGGCGGUUGGGGAUGGACUCGCGGCUUAUCAGCUUGUUGGUGGGGUAGUGGCUUACCAAGGCUUUGACGGGUAGCCGGCCUGAGAGGGUGACCGGCCACAUGGGGACUGGGAUACGGCCCAGACUCCUACGGGAGGCAGCAGUGGGGAAUAUUGCACAAUGGGCGGAAGCCUGAUGCAGCAACGCCGCGUGCGGGAUGACGGCCUUCGGGUUGUAAACCGCUUUCGCCUGUGACGAAGCGUGAGUGACGGUAAUGGGUAAAGAAGCACCGGCUAACUACGUG
RNAcentral lists this ribosomal RNA (468 nucleotides) under uncultured bacterium. RNAcentral describes it as "partial 16S ribosomal RNA". It matches the Rfam family "Bacterial small subunit ribosomal RNA", at positions 28 to 507 of the family's 1533-position model. The record is from RNAcentral.